ACCUGGCUAGCUCAGUUGAUAGAGCAUGAGAUUCUUAACCUCAGAAUUGUGGGCUCAUGCCCCACAUUGGGUG
RNAcentral lists this transfer RNA (73 nucleotides) under Ovis aries (sheep). It matches the Rfam family "tRNA". Rfam says of the family: Transfer RNA (tRNA) molecules are approximately 80 nucleotides in length. Their secondary structure includes four short double-helical elements and three loops (D, anti-codon, and T loops). Lineage: Eukaryota; Metazoa; Chordata; Mammalia; Artiodactyla; Bovidae. The record is from Rfam by way of RNAcentral.